RNAcentral lists this ribosomal RNA (253 nucleotides) under uncultured bacterium. RNAcentral describes it as "partial 16S ribosomal RNA". It matches the Rfam family "Bacterial small subunit ribosomal RNA", at positions 524 to 776 of the family's 1533-position model. The record is from RNAcentral.
UACAGAGGUGGCAAGCGUUGUUCGGAAUUACUGGGCGUAAAGGGCGCGUAGGCGGUCUUGUAAGUCCUGUGUGAAAUCCCUCGGCUCAACUGAGGAACUGCACGGGAAACUGCUUGGCUUGAGUUCGGGAGAGGGAAGCGGAAUUCCGGGUGUAGCGGUGAAAUGCGUAGAUAUCCGGAGGAACACCGGUGGCGAAGGCGGCUUCCUGGACCGACACUGACGCUGAGGCGCGAAAGCUGGGGGAGCAAACGGG